CGCGUGGGCAGCGCGCGCCGCCGGAGUUCGAUAUUAAUCGCCGUCACUCGUCGUAUUUCCUCAAACGUCCGUUUCGAUUCGAUACGGUGCGGUGUUAACGUCGGCUUGGCUCGGCCGAACUGCAGUUCGAUCUGAAUGAGUGUGCUGCGUCCGUCUCCUGUUGCUCCGCCGUUGCACGGCGGUUGACAUUGGCGUCCGGCGAUUGGCAGUCUCGACGAGACGAAAAGGAAAAAGGACCGAAGGAGUGGUUGGUGAGAUUUUCAGUGUGUUUACAUAUAUCGAAAGUAUUGAAAUAAAUUAUCGUAAAUUGUGUGUUGCGCGCGAAGACGGACUCGAACCGUACGACGUGAAGGUGGCAGCGGGAAGCUUUCGCGUCGCAGCCCCGGGCGCGCAGCCGGAUUCCUGUGCUACACGAACCCCCGCGGACGUAGGCGAUUCGUGCUAGCCUCGUCCAUUUUGACUUUCGUCCCUUCGUUAGGUCAAACUAUCGCGCCAAAACGCCACAUCGAAUAGCACAUAUUCAUAUGGUGCAGACAGGGAUGGCUGCGCCCUAUGGUGGGGGUGUCUUCCCUCCUCCGGUAAACGGGGUCGCGGGUGUCGUGGGGGCGGC
Trachymyrmex cornetzi is the source of this 610-nucleotide long non-coding RNA. RefSeq lists it as uncharacterized. The record is from RefSeq and is a predicted model, not a curated record. NCBI's taxonomy places the organism in Eukaryota, Metazoa, Arthropoda, Insecta, Hymenoptera, Formicidae. The transcript has 4 exons.